This 454-nucleotide ribosomal RNA is filed under the name uncultured Parabacteroides sp. Its description in RNAcentral is "partial 16S ribosomal RNA". It matches the Rfam family "Bacterial small subunit ribosomal RNA", at positions 341 to 792 of the family's 1533-position model. Lineage: Bacteria; Pseudomonadati; Bacteroidota; Bacteroidia; Bacteroidales; Tannerellaceae. The record is from RNAcentral.
ACGGGAGGCAGCAGUGAUGAAUAUUGGACAAUGGUGGCAACCCUGAUCCAGCCAAACCGCGUGAGGGAUGAAGGUCCUACGGAUCGUAAACCUCUUUUAUGUGGGAAUAAUUGCUGGUAUGCAUACCAGCUUGAAGGUACCACUUGAAUAAGCAUCGGCUAACUCCUUGCCAGCAGCCGCGGUAAUACGGAGGAUGCAGGCGUUAUCCUGAUUUAUUAGGUUUAAAGGGUGCGCAGGCGGGACAUUAAGUCGGUGGUGAAAUACCGUGGCCCAACCACGGGGCUGCCAUCGAUACUGAUGACCUUGAGUGAGUGUGACGUAGGCGGAAUGUGGAGUGUAGCGGGGAAAUGCUUAGAUAUGCCACAGAACACCGAUUGCGAAGGCAGCCUACGAAUGCGUAACUGACGCUCAUGCACGAAAGCGCGGGUAGCGAACAGGAUUAGAUAAAAGGGUA